CUACGGGACGCUGCAGUGGGGAAUAUUGCACAAUGGGCGCAAGCCUGAUGCAGCCAUGCCGCGUGUAUGAAGAAGGCCUUCGGGUUGUAAAGUACUUUCAGCGGGGAGGAAGGGAGUAAAGUUAAUACCUUUGCUCAUUGACGCUACCCGCAGAAGAAGCACCGGCUAACUCCGUGCCAGCAGCCGCGGUAAUACGGAGGGUGCAAGGGUUAAUCGGAAUUACUGGGCGUAAAGCGCACGCAGGCGGUUUGUUAAGUCAGAUGUGAAAUCCCCGGGCUCAACCUGGGAACUGCAUCUGAUACUGGCAAGCUUGAGUCUCGUAGAGGGGGGUAGAAUUCCCGGUGUAGCGGUGAAAUGCGUAGAGAUCUGGAGGAAUACCGGUGGCGAAGGCGGCCCCCUGGACGAAGACUGACGCUCAGGUGCGAAAGCGUGGGGAGCAAACAGGAUUAGAUACCCCAGUAGUC
Molecule: ribosomal RNA, 464 nt
Filed under: uncultured bacterium
Lineage: Bacteria
Description: partial 16S ribosomal RNA
Rfam family: Bacterial small subunit ribosomal RNA
Source: RNAcentral